This 303-nucleotide unclassified non-coding RNA is filed under the name fungal sp. RNAcentral's name for it is "partial internal transcribed spacer region". The stretch from base 1 to 46 matches the Rfam family "Eukaryotic small subunit ribosomal RNA", at positions 1786 to 1831 of the family's 1831-position model. The record is from RNAcentral. Lineage: Eukaryota; Fungi.
AAGUCGUAACAAGGUAACCGUAGGUGAACCUGCGGUUGGAUCAUUACUGAAGAUGAUUAGCGGUUCUUUUUAUCUACUAGAUAAAUCCCGCUAUGAAUCCAACCCCUUGUGAACAAUAACCGUAUUUUGGCGGCCCUCCAAACCCGCGUCUUACCUCUUAAUUGAGCAUAGAUGCGAUGGGCUGUCAGCCUUUGUUUUAACGCUUAUGUUUGUAAUUAUAUAUGUCUCCAAUGAGUUUCAAUUUUUGAAUCUUGUUUUUUAUAAAUGAAUAAACAACUUUUGACAACGGAUCUCUUGGCUCUC